Lottia gigantea (owl limpet) is the source of this 78-nucleotide microRNA precursor. It matches the Rfam family "mir-981 microRNA precursor family". The record is from Rfam. NCBI's taxonomy places the organism in Eukaryota, Metazoa, Mollusca, Gastropoda, Lottiidae.
AGACAUUUUGACGGGUUUCGCGAUUUGCGAACAGUCUAACGGAUUGUGUUCGUUGUCGACGAAACCUGCCUUAAGCCC